Molecule: ribosomal RNA, 304 nt
Filed under: uncultured bacterium
Lineage: Bacteria
Description: bacterial SSU rRNA
Rfam family: Bacterial small subunit ribosomal RNA
Source: RNAcentral
GACGAACGCUGGCGGCGUGCUUCAUACAUGCAAGUCGAACGCGAAUCGGUAGCUUGCUACCGAGGAAAGUGGCGGACGGGUGAGUAAUGUGUAGAGAAUCUGCCCUAGAGCGGGGGACAACAGCUGGAAACGGUUGCUAAUACCCCAUAUGAGCGUAUCUGAAAUGGUAUUCUUGAAAACUCCGGUGCUCUAGGAUGAGUCUGCAUCUGAUUAGCUAGUUGGGGGUGUAAUGGACCACCAAGGCGACGAUCAGUAGCUGGUUUGAGAGGAUGAUCAGCCACAAUGGGACUGAGACACGGCCCAU